Molecule: long non-coding RNA, 1268 nt
Filed under: Oreochromis niloticus (Nile tilapia)
Lineage: Eukaryota; Metazoa; Chordata; Actinopteri; Cichliformes; Cichlidae
Description: lncRNA (ENSONIG00000033279.1)
Source: RNAcentral
ACCGAGAUGAUCAUUUGGUGAAAACAACUAAAGUUCAGAUGCAAAAUCUAGAAGACAGAGUUUGGAAACUAUUCACUGAAAACACCAACAAACUCAAACAACAAACUACGUGGUGCAUCAUCUGGACUCGAGAAAACGAAAAUGUCUGCUGUUACUGAGUCACUCUGCUUGGCUUUCCUGUUUGUUGUGUUUGUUUGUGCAGACCAGAAAACCAUCACAGCUGAAUCUGGUCAGGACGUCACUCUGACAUGUCGAGCUCCAAAAAACAAGAUCAGAGCUGUAAAGUGGAGCAGAGCUGACCUGGGAGAUGAAUAUGUGUUUUGGUGUAAGGGUGGGUGGUUUAUUUUAGAUUACCAGCAUCCAUCUUUUAAGAACCGGGUGGAUCUGCAGGACAGACAGAUGAAGGCUGGAGACGUGUCUUUGAUUCUGAAGAAUGUGAGGGCUGCUGAUGAUGGAAUAUACAUGUGUCAUGUCAACGUGAGAGGAACACGCUCAACUGAGCUCAUCAGCAUCAUCACACUGAGAGUUGUUGAUCCUCCAGGUCAGACAGGAGGAUCUACUGUACUUAUGUUUGUUGGUGUGGUUCUUCUCUCUAGUGUUACUGGUGGUGUUUUUGGUGGUGCUUGUGGUUUGGUGACCGAAAUACUGAUAAAUAAACUUUCAAGAAGAUCCAGGAGAUGGCUGUAGAACUCACACAGCCAGAGUUUCAUUUUCUUUAUCAUUUCUGUGAUUAUCAUCAUGUUCAGACUAAGACCAACAGUGUGUCUAUCCUGUCUAUCUGCGUCUUUAAAUUACAGUUUAUUUAUCUCCAGGCUAUCCAUGAGUUUCACUGACACAAACUAAAACUGUUAAAUAUAAAGUAAUGUUCUAUAAUGUCAGAAUUAAUUGGAGUUUUAUUUUAGCUUCAGGAUCAGCAGCUGUUGAAGUAUAAUUACAGACACAGAUUCAACAACACAAACACUGUUUGUCAUAAUCUGAGUGUAGAUGAAGUUCUGUGGAAUUUAAAUGAACAGUUAUCUGGAUCCUCAUAUUCAGGAUCCAUUGAUCAGCUACAACUGAAUGGGGUUUGCAUAAUGUUUUAUUAAUUUCAGUUCAUCAAAUCUGCCUUCUAAAAAACUUUUAUGACAUUAUAUGAAGAUAAAUGUUGUUGCAGGCUCAUUGUUCUUUUGACUUUUUGAAAGAAAGCUGAAGAAUCUAAAGCUCUUAACCAUGUGCACUUUCUCUUGUCUUAAGCUUUUUUGUUAAUAAAGAUUUACAUGCAAAUCAUU